AAUGAACGCUGGCGGCAUGCCUAACACAUGCAAGUCGAGCGAACAGACGAGGAGCUUUCUCUUCUGACGUUGGCGGCUGACGGGCGAGUAACAAAUGGAUCAGCAACUUAUAAGUCUUGGAUAACAUCGGAAAACAAGAUCUAAUACCGGCUCAUAUAUCCAACCGCAUGGAUCAAUAGUUAAAGACGCUUUUGCCGACUCUUAUAGAUGAUUCCGCGCCGGAUUGGCUGGUUGGUAAGGUAACGCCUUACCAAGGCUACGAUGCGUAGCUGAGCUGAGAGGGUGAUCGGCCAGACUGGAACUGAGACACGGUCCAGACUCCUACGGGAGGCAGCAGUAGGGAAUCUUCAACAAUGGGCGAAAGCCUGACGGAGCAACGCCGCGUGGGUGAAGAAGGCCUUCGGAUCGUAAAACUCUUUUGUUGGGGAAGAACAAAUGUAUAAGUAUCUAUGACCGUCCUGACGGUACCAAAUCAAUAAGCAACGGCUAACUACGUG
Molecule: ribosomal RNA, 497 nt
Filed under: uncultured bacterium
Lineage: Bacteria
Description: partial 16S ribosomal RNA
Rfam family: Bacterial small subunit ribosomal RNA
Source: RNAcentral